CGGAGGAUCCAAGCGUUAUCCGGAAUCAUUGGGUUUAAAGGGUCCGUAGGCGGUCUAAUAAGUCAGUGGUGAAAGCCCAUCGCUCAACGGUGGAACGGCCAUUGAUACUGCUGGACUUGAAUUAUUAGGAAGUAACUAGAAUAUGUAGUGUAGCGGUGAAAUGCUUAGAGAUUACAUGGAAUACCAAUUGCGAAGGCAGGUUACUACUAAUGGAUUGACGCUGAUGGACGAAAGCGUGGGUAGCGAACAGGAUUAGAUACCCUGGUAGUCCACGCCGUAAACGAUGGAUACUAGCUGUUGGGCGCAAGUUCAGUGGCUAAGCGAAAGUGAUAAGUAUCCCACCUGGGGAGUACGUUCGCAAGAAUG
This 366-nucleotide ribosomal RNA is filed under the name uncultured organism. Its description in RNAcentral is "bacterial SSU rRNA". It matches the Rfam family "Bacterial small subunit ribosomal RNA", at positions 526 to 896 of the family's 1533-position model. The record is from RNAcentral.